This 258-nucleotide ribosomal RNA is filed under the name uncultured bacterium. RNAcentral's name for it is "partial 16S ribosomal RNA". It matches the Rfam family "Bacterial small subunit ribosomal RNA", at positions 524 to 781 of the family's 1533-position model. The record is from RNAcentral.
UACGGAGGGAGCUAGCGUUGUUCGGAAUUACUGGGCGUAAAGAGUACGUAGGCGGUGAUUCAAGUCAGAGGUGAAAGCCUGGAGCUCAACUCCAGAACUGCCUUUGAAACUAGAUCGCUAGAAUUGUGGAGAGGUUAGUGGAAUUCCGAGUGUAGAGGUGAAAUUCGUAGAUAUUCGGAAGAACACCAGUGGCGAAGGCGACUAACUGGACACAUAUUGACGCUGAGGUACGAAAGCGUGGGGAGCAAACAGGAUUAG